AGGGCAGCUGGGUGAAGAAACUGCUUUUCUGGGGUCUUUUUCUUCUUUCUUUCGUAUUGUGCCCUCAGAAGCAUUAGCAAGCAGCUUGUUUCUGAUGGACCUCAGGAAAACAAGCUUGGACAGUUAAGGGUGGAAGGGAAAGACUUGUGCAUGAAUGUCUUGGUGUCACAAUCAUAUUAACCUCCUCUUAGACUAAUCCUGUCCUUAACUGACUUUAUUCUGAUGAUAUUCUAGAUAGCCUGCAUCAGCCUGGGAGGACGCGGUGGGCAAUGUCUGCUGUAGCUCUUUUGGAGGAGAGUAAAACACAGCAGAGCAGCCAAAAAAAGGCAUCUGCUUGCACAGGAGCCUGCCUUUCCUAACAGCAACCAGAGGGAGAAAAGAAGUUGAAACUUCCCAGAAGAGUGAAGAAAUCUUCACCAAAACAAUUCACAGGCUAUUGUUCCAGUAACUAAGAGGAUUUCAGUUGCCUGUUUAAUACAGAAGACGAUGCCACCGGCAUGUAAGGCAGGGACGGAGCUCAGUGCCUCGCCAUCCAUCCUCUCAGUGAAGCACCUCACCUGGCUGUCUGCAAUCAGCAGCAGAGUGGAGGCUGCAGCUCCAUGAAGUGGCUCUCUGAGACGCCGCGCUAAUUGUCUUGGCAGAAAGGAAGAGUUCCCCCUAGUGCAGAGUGAUAAAUCAGAGAUGGUAAUAACUCUUUCCAAAAUAAUCCUCAGGCAGAAACAAAAUCUAGCACUGAGAGCAGUAUGGAGUCAAAACGUGCCACCUGGAUCUGAGGGUUACUAAGGUCUAUAAAUACUGCAUGCCUCUCCUGUGCCUCCAUAAUAUAUUGCUGUUAAUAAUACGUUGGCGUCUGGAUUUUAUAAUGUUCAGGCUUUGUCUUCCUGAUGCAGCCGCAAGGCAUGAUGCCAGCCCUGGGGUCAUGGGCUGAGCUGAGAGAUGAUGAGAGAUUCAGCCUUUGCAAACGAGUUUUUGCAAAAUUGGCAAAAAUGCCGACUUGCAAAUGUCAAUUUUACUCUCAUCCCCAGGGGAGCACAACUGCCCUGGUGGCACCAUGCGCUAUACCAUGCCAUGCCAUACUGUAGCAGAGAUGCUAAGUCAGGGCCUGAAGCAGUGAUGGAGCACCUGGUGGGAAGGCAGGGCCAGUUCAGGGGAGCUCAGGUGCAUGCAAUGUACCUGAGUGAUCAGAAGGGCUGGAGCUGGGAUCCACCCCUUCCCAGCCCUCAUUUAAGGGUUGGCAGUGGAGGUGAGGGGAUCUUGCUGAAGAUCCCUACCUACCUGAGGUCUUCCGAGGGGAACUGCAGACAAAACCCAGCAAACUCAAACUGUGGGCAGCAGUAUGUGGGGACUCUGCUAUGCCUCUCAGCAGGCAGAUACGGAGAAACCAGACCAUCACCAACCAGCUUUGCAUCAACCCACUGCAUUGCAUCCUUCAAGGACCUAAGCCUUAAGGAGAAGGAAUGA
RNAcentral lists this long non-coding RNA (1461 nucleotides) under Numida meleagris (helmeted guineafowl). RNAcentral's name for it is "lncRNA (ENSNMEG00000012125.1)". The record is from RNAcentral. Lineage: Eukaryota; Metazoa; Chordata; Aves; Galliformes; Numididae.